Parus major (Great Tit) is the source of this 391-nucleotide long non-coding RNA. RefSeq lists it as uncharacterized. The transcript has 2 exons. The record is from RefSeq and is a predicted model, not a curated record. NCBI's taxonomy places the organism in Eukaryota, Metazoa, Chordata, Aves, Passeriformes, Paridae.
CAUGUGACUGUGACGUCACAAGGCCGGCCCGCCCAUCACGUGACACAGCCUGCGCUGCGGGGCCCCGGCCGCGAGGGAAGGAAGGAUCUCGCGAGAGCGGGGCCGGGCCGCGGGGAGCUCCGUGGGGAGCGGUGUGAGGGGGAGUGACUGAGGGAUGAAAGUUACCUCACGGAGCGCUGCUUUACCUCCAGAAUGUGCUUCGUGCCUCUGAACAUGGGCAGUCUGAGCAGUGCAUGCAGCUGGUUGAAUAAUAUAUAUCAACCUGAAAUCUGCUAAAAGAAAAGUCUGGAACAGCAUAGGUAUUUGGUGUCCUGAAGACAUAUGUGGAUGAUUUUGGUUUUUAUUUUUUAGUUUUUUAAUUUUUUUAAAUAAAACUAUUUCUUCGCCUUUA